RNAcentral lists this ribosomal RNA (444 nucleotides) under uncultured bacterium. RNAcentral's name for it is "bacterial SSU rRNA". It matches the Rfam family "Bacterial small subunit ribosomal RNA", at positions 331 to 792 of the family's 1533-position model. The record is from RNAcentral.
CCAGACUCCUACGGGAGGCAGCAGUGGGGAAUAUUACACAAUGGGGGGAACCCUGAUGCAGCGACGCCGCGUGAGUGAAGAAGUAUUUCGGUAUGUAAAGCUCUAUCAGCAGGGAAGAUAAUGACGGUACCUGAGUAAGAAGCCCCGGCUAACUACGUGCCAGCAGCCGCGGUAAUACGUAGGGGGCAAGCGUUAUCCGGAUUUACUGGGUGUAAAGGGAGCGUAGACGGCAUGGCAAGUCUGAAGUGAAAGCCCGGGGCUCAACCGCGGGACUGCUUUGGAAACUGUUAAGCUGGAGUGCAGGAGAGGUAAGUGGAAUUCCUAGUGUAGCGGUGAAAUGCGUAGAUAUUAGGAGGAACACCAGUGGCGAAGGCGGCUUACUGGACUGUAACUGACGUUGAGGCUCGAAAGCGUGGGGAGCAAACAGGAUUAGAUACCCCCGUA